CUACGGAGGGUGCGAGCGUUAAUCGGAAUUACUGGGCGUAAAGCGUACGUAGGCGGUUGGUUAAGUUAGAUGUGAAAGCCCCGGGCUUAACCUGGGAACUGCAUUUAAAACUGGCGAACUAGAGUUGAGUAGAGGGGAGUGGAAUUUCAGGUGUAGCGGUGAAAUGCGUAGAGAUCUGAAGGAACACCAGUGGCGAAGGCGACUCCCUGGACUCGAACUGACGCUGAGGUACGAAAGCGUGGGUAGCAAACGGAAUUAGAUACCCUAGUAGUCC
This 274-nucleotide ribosomal RNA is filed under the name uncultured bacterium. RNAcentral's name for it is "partial 16S ribosomal RNA". It matches the Rfam family "Bacterial small subunit ribosomal RNA", at positions 523 to 796 of the family's 1533-position model. The record is from RNAcentral.